UACGUAGGGAGCAAGCGUUGUCCGGAAUCAUUGGGCGUAAAGAGCUCGUAGGCGGUUUGCUCAGUCGGAUGUGAAACCUCCAGGCUCAACCUGGAGCCGCCAUUCGAUACUGGCAUGACUAGAGUCCGGUAGGGGCCCACGGAACUCCUGGUGUAGCGGUGAAAUGCGCAGAUAUCAGGAAGAACACCGAUGGCGAAGGCAGAUCUCUGGGCCGUAACUGACGCUGAGGAGCGAAAGCAUGGGGAGCGAACAGG
Molecule: ribosomal RNA, 254 nt
Filed under: uncultured bacterium
Lineage: Bacteria
Description: partial 16S ribosomal RNA
Rfam family: Bacterial small subunit ribosomal RNA
Source: RNAcentral